Molecule: transfer RNA, 75 nt
Filed under: Candidatus Komeilibacteria bacterium RIFCSPLOWO2_01_FULL_52_15
Lineage: Bacteria; Candidatus Komeiliibacteriota
Description: tRNA-Asn
Rfam family: tRNA
About the family: Transfer RNA (tRNA) molecules are approximately 80 nucleotides in length.
Source: RNAcentral
UCCGCGGUAGCUCAGCGGUAGAGCAAUUGGCUGUUAACCAAUGGGUCGUCGGUUCGAAUCCGACCCGCGGAGCCA